RNAcentral lists this ribosomal RNA (507 nucleotides) under uncultured bacterium. RNAcentral describes it as "partial 16S ribosomal RNA". It matches the Rfam family "Bacterial small subunit ribosomal RNA", at positions 28 to 507 of the family's 1533-position model. The record is from RNAcentral.
GACGAACGCUGGCGGCGUGCCUAAUACAUGCAAGUCGAACGCAUUUUCUUUCACCGUAGCUUGCUACACCGAAAGAAAAUGAGUGGCGAACGGGUGAGUAACACGUUGGUAACCUGCCCAUCAGCGGGGGAUAACACUUGGAAACAGGUGCUAAUACCGCAUAAUUCCAUUUACCGCAUGGUAGAUGGAUGAAAGGCGCUUUUGCGUCACUGAUGGAUGGACCCGCGGUGCAUUAGCUAGUUGGUGGGGUAACGGCCUACCAAGGCUGCGAUGCAUAGCCGACCUGAGAGGGUGAUCGGCCACACUGGGACUGAGACACGGCCCAGACUCCUACGGGAGGCAGCAGUAGGGAAUCUUCGGUAAUGGACACAAGUCUGACCGAGCAACGCCGCGUGAGUGAAGAAGGUUUUCGGAUCGUAAAACUCUGUUGUUAGAGAAGAACAAGGAUGAGAGUGGAAAGUUCAUCCCUUGACGGUAUCUAACCAGAAAGCCACGGCUAACUACGUG